Molecule: ribosomal RNA, 468 nt
Filed under: uncultured bacterium
Lineage: Bacteria
Description: partial 16S ribosomal RNA
Rfam family: Bacterial small subunit ribosomal RNA
Source: RNAcentral
GAUGAACGCUGGCGGCGUGCUUAACACAUGCAAGUCGAACGGAAAGGCCCAAGCUUGCUUGGGUACUCGAGUGGCGAACGGGUGAGUAACACGUGGGUGAUCUGCCCUGCACUUCGGGAUAAGCCUGGGAAACUGGGUCUAAUACCGGAUAGGACGAUGGUUUGGAUGCCAUUGUGGAAAGUUUUUUCGGUGUGGGAUGAGCUCGCGGCCUAUCAGCUUGUUGGUGGGGUAAUGGCCUACCAAGGCGUCGACGGGUAGCCGGCCUGAGAGGGUGUACGGCCACAUUGGGACUGAGAUACGGCCCAGACUCCGACGGGAGGCAGCAGGGGGGAAUAUUGCACAAUGGGCGCAAGCCUGAUGCAGCGACGACGCGUGGGGGAUGACGGCCUUCGGGUUGUAAACUCCUUUCGCUAGGGACGAAGCGUUUUUGUGACGGUACCUGGAGAAGAAGCACCGGCUAACUACGUG